RNAcentral lists this transfer RNA (72 nucleotides) under Cavia porcellus (domestic guinea pig). It matches the Rfam family "tRNA". From Rfam's summary of the family: Transfer RNA (tRNA) molecules are approximately 80 nucleotides in length. Their secondary structure includes four short double-helical elements and three loops (D, anti-codon, and T loops). Lineage: Eukaryota; Metazoa; Chordata; Mammalia; Rodentia; Caviidae. The record is from Rfam by way of RNAcentral.
AGGGAUAUAUCUCAGCAGCUCAGUGCCUGCCUGGCAAGCAUGAGGUCCUGAGUUUGAUCCCCAGUAUCCCCC